UUCAGGUAUUCAUAACUCUUCAUGAUCGCCGGAUCAUUACUCAUGCACAACCAUCGCAGUCAUGUUCAGAGCUGAAUAAACGAAGUACAUCGUGACUUGAGCAGCGCCGCUUGUACAUAGAUUCUCCUUCAGUCAUUGCAGCAGCCUUAUCACCUACAACGUACCUAUGGUUUUCAUCGUCAUCGUCUUAGUACCGCUUGCUGAGCUGAAUUUUUCUAAUGGUCGCUGCGCCCAAUCGUCAUUGAGCACUGAGAGGAAUUUCUUACCAGAGCCGAGAACAGUAGAGUCCCACUCGACGAGUUUUGCUGCUUUGGUUACUCGAAUCAAAUUAAUGAACGAAUUUUGCCUACCACCCCCACCGCUCUUUAAUUUCUCAGUGGAACGAGGGGAAAUUUCCUGCUAUCGAAUUGAACGCUCUGCUUUUGAAAUUUCAACUUUGAAAAAUAUCUUUCGUCACUUUUCUGUGAAAAUGAAAUCAUUGUGCCCUGAUGUAACUUUGUCCUGAACAAAUGUCGACCCACGUUUCCGGUAAAAUAGGAUUUUCGCCUUUUCCUUCGUCCGUUUGUUGUAUUCGAUUCUCAACAUUCCGUUGAAAUUGUAUUUGUAUUAUUCUGUUUCGUAAAUUAGCGCGUUUAAUUCCCGCCUACCUUCCGCCAUCCAUCCUAAUCCCAAUACGAAUUGUUACCCCCCCCCCCCGCUCUUCACACUCAAAUCACUUGUCUCGCGUUACUUAAAUAUCUAAUGAUAUGUUGACUAUACUUUCGCCCUCUAACUCCUUCCCACAGAAUUUUUCGCUUAGCUUUUGUAACUUGGUGGUUUCUUUUUCUUGAAAUUUUUGUGGGUAUUUCAUUUUUUUUAAAUUCAUUUUUUUCAUGUUUGAUCGUGGAAAUCAGCUUUCAUCAUUCGUUUUGAUAUUUAUGAUUUUCUGAUUCAUUUUGGAUUUACAAAAACUGAUGAUUAAUCGAAAAAUUUCGGGUGGUUGGUUGUUAGGGAAGGUGUUUCACGGUUAUUUGAACUAAUUGACAUCAUGGAACGUGGUCGUGGGGUUAUUAUUUUUGGUUAGAUAGGCUGCAAGUUUGACUUACAACCUGGUAUCGUAACAGUUGCGGAUCAAAACUUUUUUUUUUUUCAAAAGAGAAAUGUUGGCUUGUAGUGCUGGUGAUGAGUUUAUGUAGGGUAUUUGUGUGCAGAUGGAAGUUGCGUGGCGGCGGUGGUGAGUGUUGGUAGGGGAUGCGGUUGUGGCUGGUCUUGUUAAGUUUUGUCCCAUGCUCGCCUGUUAAGCAUCAACCCACAACUGUACAUUUUUGCAUCGCGAUUUUUUGAAAAUUUCUCUUCUGUUAGCUUCUAGGUUAAGAAAACGCAUCCGCGGGUACGGGCUCUCGCCCAAGGAUCCGUCAGUCAGCAGGGCUGGUGAAAACUGUACAGGGUGUCAGGGGCUGAGAUUCGUUACUAACGAUUCGAGGGAAACCUGGCACUCACCCCAGCGAGGGGUAGUCGUAAUAGGCUGGUACAGGAAUUAGCGUUUGCGUUUCUGUCUAGUGGUAGUUCCGGUUUAUCAAAGAUGGAGCAGGGAUGGUUAAUGUUACCCUCACAACCGUGAUAUUGGCCAUUCUUGCAGUCGAGGAUGACCUGCCUCGGUUGGUUCGCCAGAUCUGCCUGCGAACCAACCGCACGUACAGUAAGUGGUGCACUCUAGGUUUUGCAUAUGCUUGCUUGCGUGAAAUGUGAGUCAAGUUUUUUUGAGAGAAAUUUGACAUUUCAAAGGCUGACCUGGUUUUGUUGCUUCGGUCAACUUGCCAGGCAGGUGAGCGUGUGUGAAAAGGCGUAUGGUGAUUUGGACUGCGUACGAUGUCUGGUUGUGAUUGAAUUUGUGUUUUGUAAAAUUCGAAUGAAAAAAUUAAAGUUGCGGAGUAUUUGAUCGUGUUGUAAUGAAAAACAUCCUUGAAAAUAACGUACCUAAUUUCGUAAUGUGAAUUAUUUCGCGAUGAUUAGAUGCGGGAAGGGUGGAUUGAUUUCGUAAUGUUUAAUCCGGUAUACAAAAAUAUUGAAUGAAUCAAUAUUAUUUCAAUCAUUCCAUACCUCUAGUACCCUCCUCCCCCCGCCCACCUACACAAUCAUCUGGAAUAAUUAUCUUGAGUUCGAUUUGUUGUGAAUGAGCGCCGCUCUGUAUUGAAAGUUCGAAACCAAAAUUGGAAAAUUUGGUGGCGUUUCGUUUUCUAUUCAAGAUGUUCGAUUUACUUAUGCCAGUCUACUCGUUGUGUUACUUCGCCGUUGAAAUGUGCGUUUAUGGAAGUAGGAAGACCAAACAUGUUCAUAUCAGAUUUUCGAAUUGCUGGAUAUUUCGAUGCUAGUUUGAAAAUUAAGCCUAUGCAUAGAAUAUUGAAUCUAGCGCCCACAGUUACUCCACCAUUCUGCAGAGUGUUGAUAACUUUACCCAUCUUCAGCGAAUCUGACGGCGGUUUGCAUCUGCUCACAUGAGACUACUGAAACGUAUUUUAAUUCCGGCACCUGAAAUACUCACCUGAAGAUCUUCGUCGAACAUGUUUCAGUAGAGUUCGACGAGUACCCGGAUCCGCGAUUCUUACCCGGGUCUGAAAAUUAUCCGGUUCCGACCCGGGUAGUAAAAUUUUCAACAAAUGACGUCAUUUUGAGUAGUUCAAAUAAAUUCCGCUAGGGUCGCUAUAUAAAAAUGAAAUUCUUUCGUCAGUUUGAUUUGGCAACGUCGCAUUUUUCAUUGUUUUCCUUUUCCACUACCCGGUUCCGUACCCGGGUAGCCGAUUCCUUUACCGGGUUGAACCCGGAAAAUCGGCAAUCCGGGUACCCGUUGAACUCUAUGUUUCAGGUAUUCAUAACACGUCUUGAUUGCCGGAUCAUUACUCAUACGCAACCAUCGCAGUCAUGUUCAGAGCUGAAUAAACGAAGUACAUUGUGACUUGAGCAGCGUCGCUUGUACGUAUAGAUUCUCCUUCAGUCAUCGCAGCAGCCUCAUCAGCUACAAUGUACCUAUGUUUUUCAUCGUCAUCGUCUUAGUACCAUUUGCGGAACUGAAUUUUUCUGAUGGUUGCUGAACUCACUCGACGAUUUUUGCUGCUUUGGUUACUCGAAUCAAAUUAAUGAAUGAAUUUUGCCUACUACCCCCACCUUGUUAAUUUCUCAGUGAAACGAGGGGAAAUUUCCUGCUAUUGAAUCGAACGCUCUGCUUGUUAAAUUCAAACGUUGAAAAAUAUCUUUUGUCGCUUUCUGUGAAAAUGAAAUCAUUGUGUCCUGAUGUAACUUUGCCGUAAACAAAUUUCCACCCACAUUUCCAGUAAAAUAGGAUUUUCGCCGGUUCCUUCAUCCGUUUGUUGUAUUCGAUUCUCAACAUUCCGUUGAAGUUUUAUUCGUAUUAUUCUGUCGUGUAAAUUAGCGCGUUUAAUUCCCCCCCCCCUCCCUUCCGCCUACCCUCCCAAUACAAAUUGUUACCCCCCCCUUCCCACUCGAAUUGCUUGUCUCGCGUUAUUGAAAUAUCUAAUGAUAUGUUGACUUUACUUUCACCCUCCACCCCCCACAGAAUUUUUCGUUUAGCUUUUGUAACUUGGGGGUUUCGUUUUCUUGACAUUUUUGCGGGUACAUAUUUCAUUUUUUUUAAAUUCAUUUUUUUUGUGUUUUGGUUGCAAGUCGUAUUAUUUGCUCGUGGAAAUCAGCUUUCGUCGUUCGUUUUGAUAUUUAUGAUUUUCUGAUUCAUUUUGGGCUGUCGAUAUAUUGUUAUUUACAAAAACCGACGAUUAAUCGAAAAAUUUCGGGUGGUUGUUUGUUAGGGAAGGUGUUUCACGGUUAUUUGAACUAAUUGACAUCAUGAAACGUGGUCGUGGGGUUAUUAUUUUCGUUUAGAUAGGCUGCAAGUUUGAAUUACAACCUGAUAUCGUAGCAGUUGCGGAGCAAAACUUUUUUUUUUUCAAAAGAGAAAUGUUGGCUUGUAGUGCUGGUGAUGAGUUUAUGUAGGGUAUUUGUGUGCAGAUGGAAGUUGCGUGGCGGCGGUGGUGAGUGUUGGUAGGGGAUGCGGUUGUGGCUGGUCUUGUUAAGUUCUGUCCCGUGCUGGCCUGUUAAGCAUCAACCCACAACUGUACAUUUUGCAUCGCGAUUUUUUGAAAAUUUCUCUUCUGUUAGCUUCUAGGUUAAGAAAACGCAUCCGCGGGUACGGGCUCUCGCCCAAGGACCCGUCAGGUCGGGGGCCUGCUCAGUGGGCCGCGCUGGCAGAAAACUGUACGGAGUGCACAGGGGCCGAUGAUAUUCGUUAACGAGUUGAGGGAAACCUGGCACUCACUCCAACGAGGGGUAGUCGUAAUAGGCUGGUACAGGAAUGUAACGUUUGCGUUUCCAUCUAGCGGUUAUAGUCUGACUGUUUCUCGCGACCUUAGUUCCGGUUUAUCAAAGAUGGUGCAGGGAUGGUUAAUGUUGCCCCUCAAAAUCGACAAUAUUGCCAUUCUUGCCAUCGAGGAUUACCUGCCUCGGUUGGUUCGCCAGAUCUGCCUGCGAACCAACCGCACGUACAGUAAGUGGUGCACUCUAGGUUUUGCAUAUGCUUGCUUGCGUGAAAUGUGAGUCCAGUUAUUUUGAGAGAAAUUUGAAAUUUCAAAGGCUGACCGGGUUUUGUUGCUUCGGUCAACUUGCCAGGCAGGUGAGCGUGUGUGAAAAGGCGUAUGGUGAUCUGGACUGCGUACGAUGUCUGGUUGUGAUUGAAUUUGUGUUUUGUAAAAUUCGAAUGAAAAAAUUCAAGUUGCGGAGUACCUAUUUGAUCGUGUUGUAAUGAAAAACAUCCUUGAAAAUAACUUACCUAAUUUCGUAAUGUGAAUGAUUUCGCGAUGAUUAGAUGCGAGAAGGGUGGAUUUAUUUCGUAAUGUUUAAUCCUGUAUACAAAAAUAUUAAAAGAAUCAAUAUUUCAAUCAUUCCAAUUUCCAUACCUCUAGUACCCUCCCUCCCCCCACCAACCUACCUACCGAAUUUAUUUGUAUGUAAGUAGUUGGAACUGUUAUGUCUGUUUUUAGAAAAUAAGUUCGUAUUUUUGUCUUUUGUUGUGUAUGUUAUUGAUGUAUGUAGAUGUAUGUAGACGUACUACGUAGCCAUGUACGUACUUUGUUGUGUAAUUUUAUUGUUGAUGUAUUUGGUGAUCAAUAUUGUCAUGUCAUAACAUAUUCCAUCGUUGAUUUGAUAAGUGUAUCAUGUAUUGUAUUAAUUAUUUUCUAUUAAUAGUGGUAAAAUGUUCAUCUUCAAGCUCUCAUACGCUUACGGCUUAGCUAUCUUUAGCAUUGUAAUAUUAUUUUUAGUGUAUUUGAUUGUUUUCAUAUUUUUGUACAUGUAUGACUGUAUGUAGGUAUUAAUUACUCUUGUUACUUUCAUCUUUGUAAUGAUCGAUCAUGGUUUUUCACUGUUGAGCGGCGAACAGUGUUUUUUUGCCUGGAUCGAUCAGUAGUAUGUAUAGAAUAAGUCUUCCAUUUUUUUUUCGCCGCAUCGCCAUCGCGAUUUUUACUUUGUUUUGUGCGAUUUUAAUUCGUCGCAUGUGUUGAAACUUUAUUUGCAUAUCUCACGAAUGAUAGCUAGGUAGGUACAUAAAUCAGCGACGAAUCAAGUUAGCAUAAUGCGCCUAUAUAGGAAUGUUUUACUCAUUUUUGAACUCUUGAUCGUAUGCUAAAACAGAAAUCCAAUUACCAAAAUGCGCGUACCAUAUUGGAUUAAAUAUUUUGACCAGAGUAUUUGGCUUAGCUGUGGUAAAUGAAAUGAUGAAAUUCGGUCAUUUUUGUUUAUUAUAUGAUACGAUGUUCGAUUUGAAAGAAACUGGGAAUUUUGGCAUUUAACGUGUGAUUUUGGACGGUGAGGUAAACGUUUCUGGCUGAAAUGAAUCGCUGAAAUUGUACUCGACGUCUUUGAUUCUCUAGAUAAUCGUUUUUCGAAGAAGCUGCCUACUCGCAACUUUGCAAGGCGCAGAAAAUACAAACACGGCGUUUUUUUAGUAACGCCGCGCCGGUUUUAGUCGAUUCAAAGUCGCUGAUUCAGCCGCCCGAAUAGACAUUUUCACUGGGAAGGAAAGUGAAUUUUUUAGCUGCCGAAGAAGUUGCCUACUCACAAGGCGCAAAAAAUUCACGAA
Long non-coding RNA from Planococcus citri (citrus mealybug), 6121 nucleotides. RefSeq lists it as uncharacterized. The transcript is spliced from 4 exons. Lineage: Eukaryota; Metazoa; Arthropoda; Insecta; Hemiptera; Pseudococcidae. The record is from RefSeq and is a predicted model, not a curated record.